This 310-nucleotide ribosomal RNA is filed under the name uncultured bacterium. RNAcentral describes it as "bacterial SSU rRNA". It matches the Rfam family "Bacterial small subunit ribosomal RNA", at positions 28 to 335 of the family's 1533-position model. The record is from RNAcentral.
GACGAACGCUGGCGGCGUGCUUAACACAUGCAAGUCGAGCGGUAAGGCCCUUUCGGGGGUACGACGAGCGGCGAACGGGUGAGUAACACGUGGGUGACCUGCCCUCAGCUCUGGGAUAAGCCCCGGGAAACUGGGUCUAAUACCGGAUAUGACUUCAUGACGCAUGUUGUGGAGUGGAAAGCCUUGUGCGGCUGAGGAUGGGGCCCGCGGCCCUAUCAGCUUGUUGGUGGGGUGANGGCCUACCAAGGCGACGACGGGUAGCCGGCCUGAGAGGGCGACCGGCCACACUGGGACUGAGAUACGGCCCAGA